This 1043-nucleotide long non-coding RNA is filed under the name Salmo salar (Atlantic salmon). RNAcentral's name for it is "lncRNA (ENSSSAG00000117858.1)". The record is from RNAcentral. Lineage: Eukaryota; Metazoa; Chordata; Actinopteri; Salmoniformes; Salmonidae.
UGUGGCUAGGGCUUAAGUCAGCCAUCUGUCUCUAGGUGUGGUCGUGAUUGGUAUCAGUUGGUUGCUCAAUAUGUCUCUGGAAUUUUGUUGUAUGCUGUUGUGAAACAUGUUGUGCAAAUGCCCUCCUUAUAUAUCAUUAGGUAAAACGUUAGAUUAUCUUUAUUACAAAUCCCCCUCUUCACGUCUGCAAGACGUGACAAAAAAGAACAAUCUGCGGCACAGCGGGAGUGAAAACAAACAAACGGAAGUCAGAGACAAAUUUUGUGAGUCCCCCUCUUCACGUCUCACCUCAGCAGAUAGCUUGUCAAGUCUCAAUAGGGAUUAAAAUCAUAUCAUUACCAUUACAAUCCACCCGUUUUGCUAGAUAUUUCACAUACAUUAUAACACAUCUAUUUUGAUUGGAUUCAGAAAUUUCACACAAAUUCAAACUAAUUCAUGCAUCCCAAUAGAUGGUCUCAUCUAACAUGUGCUCCUCAUAUUUGAAUGAAUCCUCCACCUUGCUCGGCGGUAGGUACUUGUCAUCUCAUUGAUCUGAACUUUGACUCGGUCCGUAGCUCACCAUCUGCUCCGUUAUCAUCUCUCUAGAGUUCUGGUGAUUAAACCUCUUGCACACGGGACCAAACAACAACCACACAACCCAAACACACUCAUACAGGUGAAAGCAGCCCAUAAUACAGUUCUUGCAACACUUUUCCAUUUCCCAAACAUGAGCUGUGUUAUCAAAAAUUUACGUACAGCAAUGAACUUAAUCAUUCUACCUACACCAUCCUCUUUGCCCGUAACCUAUCGAGAGUCAGUCUAUUUUACCAGGUCAUGAGGGAGGUGGCGGAUAAUUGGUCAGAGAACCUCUUUACUGCAUCCCCUGUUUCAUUCAUGAAUCUCUGUUGAUUAAAAUAUGUCAUUAAUUCAAUCCACAUUAUUAUUUAUUGUCAACUACCAACAUAAUGUAGUGUUAAAGCCUUCACAUAUUUGAUUCAUAACUUUGUAUUCAUCUGGAACCUCCCUGAGGAUGCCAAUAGCAUCCAUCUAGACAAAGCUAAUCC